UAAUUAUAAAAUUUUAGAAUCUAAAAAUAGUUCAAAUAGGGAAGAUCUUAAUUCGAUGCAAAGUGAAGAACCUUACCAGGGCUUGACAUGCCGUGAAUCCUCUUGAAAGAGAGGGGUGCCUUUGGGAACGCGGACACAGGUGGUGCAUGGUUGUCGUCAGCUCUUGUCGUAAGGUGUUGGGUUAAGUCCCGCAACGAGCGCAACCCUUGUGCUUAGUUGCUACCAUUGAGUUUGGAACCCUGAACAGACUGUUAGUGAUAAGCCGGAGGAAGGUGAGGAUGAUGUCAAGUCAUCAUGCCCCAUAUGCCCUUGGGGACACACGUGCUACAAUGGCCAGGACAAUGGGUCGCAAAUCCCCGAGGGUGAGCUAACUCCAAAAACUUGUCCUCAGUUCGGAUUGCAGACUGCAACUCACCUACAUGAAGCCGGAAUCGCUAGUAAUCGUCGAUCAACCAUACGGUGGUGAAUUCGUUCCCGGGCCUUGUACCUGUCACAUUAUGGAAGCUGACCAUGCCCAAAGUCAUUAUCUUAACCGCAAGGAAAGGGAUGCCGAAGGCGGGGCUAGUGACUGGAGUGAAGUCAUAACAAGAUAGCCGUACUGGAAGGUGCGGCUG
Molecule: non-coding RNA, 614 nt
Filed under: Amborella trichopoda
Lineage: Eukaryota; Viridiplantae; Streptophyta; Magnoliopsida; Amborellales; Amborellaceae
Description: Bacterial small subunit ribosomal RNA
Rfam family: Bacterial small subunit ribosomal RNA
Source: Rfam by way of RNAcentral